Molecule: long non-coding RNA, 1605 nt
Organism: Carassius gibelio (silver crucian carp)
Lineage: Eukaryota; Metazoa; Chordata; Actinopteri; Cypriniformes; Cyprinidae
Exons: 8
Source: RefSeq, a predicted model, not a curated record
CAUUACCUAGAUAUGUAUUUCCAACCCGUUCUCAUCAGUCUGCGUAUAAAUAACACGACUUUACACUUUCUAUUUGCGUGUAAUGCAUACGCCAAAUGCCAUUUUUGCGUGCAUAUGAUACGCCAAUCCUUCCCAUUAAUUUCGGUGGAGAGCAGAUGCGUCCAAAUAACACGCAUCAUCUUCAGCGGCAGUGACGUCACUAGCGAGGCUCGUUCAGUUCACCUGAUGCGCGUACACCUUCAAACAGGUAAGCAAGGUUACGUCAGAUUACAUACUCCACAACAACCUGUAAUCCAGCAGAUCUUUAAAGAAGCCAUCUCUUGUAAAAUCUCUCUCUCUCUCUCUCUCUCUCUCUCUCUCUCUCUCUCUCUCGCUCUGCUAGAAUUAACAGGGAACUUCAACUCCACGCUCCCAAUGCUGAUAUUGAAGAAGCUGUCAAGGGGGCUGAACAAGUCCUUCAAAGGAUCAACCCUUCACAGGAAGGCCUGUCAUGAGAUUUGAAUUUGACCAUCUUGUGCAUUUAUGAAGAAGACCAAAAGCUGCAAAGGCAAACACUUCCAAUGGCAGAAACUGAGAGUUUGCAUGAUGGCAUUUUCUCAGACGCUGAAUCUGAUGUGUACAGAUGAACUCAGGAGCCUACUAGAGUUGCCAAGGAACUUGUGCUUGAACUGAAGACCAGAAACGCAAAGAAAAUCAGUCAAACCAGUCCUAAAGAAAUGAGGAAUGAACAUGGACUUCUUGUGCCCCAAAAGAAAAGACAGAAAGCUCCUAAAAUGAGCAAAUAAGCUGUGCAUCAUCUCUGUGAUUUGGGAAGGAAAUGACUGAAUAUGAUGAAGCCAAUUGAUGAAGAUAUCAAUUGAAUGGCCACCGAGUGCAUCACUGCUACCUGAACCCAUCAGUUAUCUUCUGUGAAGACUGCAUUCACAAACCGCUCUACUGCGACAGCUCAGAUGUUACGGCCUGUAAAAGUAAACAUCACAGCUAAACAACGAGAGCUAGUUGUGGUGGGAUUCUUUUGGCCAAUAUCCCCAACAAGAAUCAAUGACAUCUAGACCAGGUGGAGUGUGAGGAGGACCGUCAGAGACUCCAGCCAGCCGAGCCAUGGAUUGCUCUCACUGUUACCAUCAGGCAUGCGUUAUCACAGAACCUACACCAGCAGACAGUGAGACAAGUUCCUUUCACAGGCAAUCAGACUGAACUGAACUCAUACCAGUAAAACCAUACACACCCCACCAACCUCAUAUGCCCUGCACUCUUAUCAGUUAUGCUGACUGGACUAUUGGAUAUUAUUAUGCACCCUGACAUUCUGUUUGCACUAAUUCAUACCGUGCUUUACUGCAGAGAUGUAUGUGUACUGUGAUUAUUAUUGUUUUCAAUUCAUGCUCUUUGUAUAGCAUAAUUUUUAACAUAUAUUGUUCUCUACCUGAAUUGAGUCCCUUAUAUAUGUGUGUUGCAUAUAUAUAUAUUCAGAAUUUGUAUUUCAUAUAUAUUCAUGAAUUAAUUCAUUUGUCAUCCAUACUGUCACGCUGCAGUCUGCACCCAAGACUUUCAUCACCUGUAUACUUGUGUUCAUUGUAUUGUGACAAUAAAGAUAUUUGAUUUAAA